This 82-nucleotide transfer RNA is filed under the name Spirochaetes bacterium GWB1_36_13. RNAcentral's name for it is "tRNA-Leu". It matches the Rfam family "tRNA". From Rfam's summary of the family: Transfer RNA (tRNA) molecules are approximately 80 nucleotides in length. Their secondary structure includes four short double-helical elements and three loops (D, anti-codon, and T loops). RNAcentral also lists the same sequence under 1 other name. Lineage: Bacteria; Pseudomonadati; Spirochaetota. The record is from RNAcentral.
GCGAGAGUGGCGGAACUGGCAGACGCACUAGACUUAGGAUCUAGCGCCUUAUGGUGUGAGGGUUCAACUCCCUCCUCUCGCA